RNAcentral lists this ribosomal RNA (253 nucleotides) under uncultured bacterium. RNAcentral's name for it is "partial 16S ribosomal RNA". It matches the Rfam family "Bacterial small subunit ribosomal RNA", at positions 524 to 776 of the family's 1533-position model. The record is from RNAcentral.
UACAGAGGGGGCAAGCGUUGUUCGGAAUUACUGGGCGUAAAGGGCGCGUAGGCGGCCUUCUAAGUCGAACGUGAAAUCCCCGGGCUCAACCCGGGAACUGCGUCCGAUACUGAAAGGCUUGAAUCCGGGAGAGGGAUGCGGAAUUCCAGGUGUAGCGGUGAAAUGCGUAGAUAUCUGGAGGAACACCGGUGGCGAAGGCGGCAUCCUGGACCGGCAUUGACGCUGAGGCGCGAAAGCCAGGGGAGCAAACGGG